GGAGGAGGAGGAGGAGGAGAGGGGGCGGCGCUGGGUGGAGGAGGGACUGGGGGCGGCGCUGGGUGGAGGAGGGGCUUGGGGCACCGCUGGCCUGGAGGAGGAGCUGCAGCCAUGGGAGCCUCGAUCGUCCUGUCAAGGUUUACUGGUUUUUAGUUACCUUGCUUGCUGAUCUUGCGCUUCGGCAUGGAGCAAAUCAACUACUGGUUUUUGGUUUACCUAGUCAGGUUUACUUGUGUUGUGGCGGCAGGGAAGCGCGCCCCCGGCCAGCCAGCCGGGAACAGACAGGUGACUGCGUGGAUGCAUAUGACACCGGGUUGGGACUUCUCUUAAUUCGUUUUUAGCUCUUCUCCUCCGCUUGUGAUCUCUAUCAUUUGUACAGGUGAUAGCAUGGAGAGGAUAGUCCGUUCGUGCCCAACAUCGAGGCACGGUGCUUCUGGCUGCACCUCCUUGAGUAUUUCCAGCAAAUCUGCACUAUAUGUUAUAUCUGUGGCACAGCAUCGUCGACAGCAUGGCAGCGGCGCUCUUCUGGCCUGUUUACAAAGCUUUGGUACAUGGCAUGGUACCACAACGGACUGUACUUCACAAUAUACAUUUCUGGAAUAAGGCAUUGCAAUAUGAGACAGUCAAUUAAGAUCCGAUGAUGACCCUGAAAAUUCAGAGUUUAUCAAGUUAACUUGGGUGCCGAGGAGAUUUUACGUUCAUUGCUACUGAGCAUGCUAAUGUCCAUUGCUACUGAGCAUGCUAAUGUCCACUUGCCAUGGAAGUGAGGUAGUGCUCACAAUGUGUUUGCCACUGAGCAUGCUACUGAGCAGGGACAAACGUUGCAAGGUUGUGAUUAAUAUGCCUGAGCAGCAGAUGGAGAUGCUGCUG
Long non-coding RNA from Lolium perenne, 870 nucleotides. RefSeq lists it as uncharacterized. The record is from RefSeq and is a predicted model, not a curated record. NCBI's taxonomy places the organism in Eukaryota, Viridiplantae, Streptophyta, Magnoliopsida, Poales, Poaceae.